This 253-nucleotide ribosomal RNA is filed under the name uncultured bacterium. RNAcentral describes it as "partial 16S ribosomal RNA". It matches the Rfam family "Bacterial small subunit ribosomal RNA", at positions 524 to 776 of the family's 1533-position model. The record is from RNAcentral.
UACGUAGGGUGCGAGCGUUGUCCGGAAUUAUUGGGCGUAAAGAGCUCGUAGGCGGUCUGUCGCGUCGAUCGUGAAAACUUGGGGCUUAACCCUGAGCCUGCAGUGGGUACGGGCAGACUAGAGUGUGGUAGGGGAGAUCGGAAUUCCUGGUGUAGCGGUGGAAUGCGCAGAUAUCAGGAGGAACACCGGUGGCGAAGGCGACACGCUGGGCCAUACCUGACGCUAAAGCGCGACAGCAUGGGGAGCAAACGGG